GGAUUAGAUACCCUGGUAGUCCACGCCGUAAACGAUGUCUACUAGUUGUUGGUUCCCUUGAGGAAUUAGUGACGCAGCUAACGCAUUAAGUAGACCGCCUGGGGAGUACGGUCGCAAGAUUAAAACUCAAAUGAAUUGACGGGGGCCCGCACAAGCGGUGGAGCAUGUGGUUUAAUUCGAAGCAACGCGAAGAACCUUACCUAGUCUUGACAUCCAGAAAACUUAGCAGAGAUGCUUUGGUGCCUUCGGGAAUUCUGAGACAGGUGCUGCAUGGCUGUCGUCAGCUCGUGCUG
Molecule: ribosomal RNA, 293 nt
Filed under: uncultured bacterium
Lineage: Bacteria
Description: partial 16S ribosomal RNA
Rfam family: Bacterial small subunit ribosomal RNA
Source: RNAcentral